AACAAUCUGCGGUGUUGGUGAUGUUUUAGUUGGUUUAUUCCUACAAGUCAACUUUAGAGAGCAGCAGUUGAGCAUAUGCUCGUGGGCUUAUGCCACUGCAUCUCACUUAAAAAAGAGGGCUUUAAACCUGCUAAAACUAACGGCACCUGCGGGUUUUUU
Molecule: non-coding RNA, 159 nt
Filed under: Endomicrobium sp.
Lineage: Bacteria; Pseudomonadati; Elusimicrobiota; Endomicrobiia; Endomicrobiales; Endomicrobiaceae
Description: 6S RNA
Rfam family: 6S / SsrS RNA
About the family: E. coli 6S RNA was the first non coding RNA to be sequenced, but its function was unknown until recently. It consists of 184 nucleotides that fold into an extended hairpin structure with a large single-stranded internal bulge.
Source: RNAcentral